GUCUCACCUGUUCCUAAAGGCAAAAUAGCCACAGAUGGUUCAGGGCAGGCGAGUUUGUGCCUGAUCUCUUCCAGGGCACCAAGGACCCAUCCAACUGUGCCAUCACCACCGCAUACCAAUAUUCGGAAAUAUGGAACUUGAGAGAAGACUGAAGUCAGUAUCCCAAGAACCAGAUGAAUUCUACAUAGGCAAGGAGAGAUUGGACUUCAUUUAAUCCAGCAGCAACCCUUCCAGCUCCAAAAGCAAUUUGAAGGUCAACAGAAAGAAUUAAGAAAUCUCAUUGGGCUCAGAUUCCUGGGAGAUGCACAAGAGUAACUUUAUGGAUCUGGUCUGAAUGCUUUUGAGAUACUGACAAUAGUAUGAAGAUCACUCACAGAAUGAUCUAGUAUUACCUCUUCAUUCUAGAAGAUCUGGUUGUAUUAAACAUGGUAUGUUUUUUCAUAUUCUAACAUAAUAGAACCAAAAUCAGAAAAAAUAAACAAAAAAUGAGCCAAC
This is a non-coding RNA of Pantherophis guttatus, 495 nucleotides long. NCBI's taxonomy places the organism in Eukaryota, Metazoa, Chordata, Lepidosauria, Squamata, Colubridae. The record is from RefSeq and is a predicted model, not a curated record.